Zootoca vivipara (common lizard) is the source of this 1266-nucleotide non-coding RNA. Lineage: Eukaryota; Metazoa; Chordata; Lepidosauria; Squamata; Lacertidae. The record is from RefSeq and is a predicted model, not a curated record.
GUUCCGUUUUGAGUGCUACGCUAAGGUCCGUCUGUUUUGCAAUUUAUUUUGCAUUUCUGUUUUUGCGGCUCUUUCUUCUUUCUUUUUGUGACUGUGUGGAACCCAGUUCAGCUACUGAUUGAUUGUGUGACUGCAGUACAUUGUGUAUUGCUUUCAUUUUAUGGAUCAAUGGUCUCAUUAGAUAGUAAAACUCAUGUUAAAUUGCUGUUUUAGGGGUUGUUUUUAAAAGUCUGGAACGGAUUAAUCCAUUUUGCAUUACUUUCUAUAGGAAAGCGCACCUUGGUUUUGGAACGGACUUCCGGGACAGAUUAAGUUUGAGAACCAAUGUACCACGGUACUAUGAAGCAUGGUCCAAUGUAGUUAAAGAAAUGAGUGAUGAGGUUCGGCUGUUCUUAUUGGAGUUCCUGGGGCCAUCCCAGGGGGAGACAAAUAGGGUCACCCACCUUAGGCCCUGUGCUUUAGGGUGUUUGUGCGCUGAGGGUCGGAGCCAGCAGCCCCACUGUCUGGCCAGCCCUGCUGCCUCCUGUCCAGCCAAGGAGGCUCUCCAUCUCCUGUUUCCCUACAGGGAGGCAGGGAAGGAGGAACUGCAGGGUGUCACUGGUACUGCCAACCCCAAAUCAAAAGCAAAAACCCACCAGGCAGGAUAGAGGAGGCAGGGCAGCCGUAAAGGAAUGAGUGUAUUUUAAUAUUUCUGUUGGAAGCCGCCCAGAGUGGCUGGGGAAACCCAGCCAGAUGGGCGGGGUAUAAAUAAUAAAUAUUAUUAUUAUAACAGAAAGUGAGCCCAGGUUAGUGGUGUUGAGGAAGUGGUUGCCACUACCAUUGCCAUGAAGAGAAGGAAUGGCAGAGGCAACAAUGUGAUUUGCUAUGAACAUCUUACCUGCCAAGGCUGACCCAGGGCACAAGUCUAUACAGAAUACAGGAGGUGCUCUAUGUAUGAAUAUGGUGAUGACUUUGCCUGUAUAGGCUUUUGUUAAUCCAUUGAGAUGAAAGCAAAUGGACCUCUCAUCUUCUGGGAAGCCGCAUAAACCACUACAUCAUCCCUGCAAGCUCCAGUCUAUCGUCUUGCAUUCAGAGGGGCUCCAAUGUGUAAAUGGAAAUUUCAGCAAUCAGAACCUGUGGCUGGUAUUUUUAAAGAAGGAAUAAGAAGAGGCGCAGAGAUCUGCUGGAUAGGAUGACUACUUGUGCAUUGCCAAAAUUAAACUCGUGAAAGAAAGAAGGGGAAAGAGGAUGCAGAUCUGCAUAUGCUAAUUCACAUGGAAUAAUAAU